UGUGGUGACGAUAGUGAGAAGGAUAUACCUGUUCCCAUGUCGAACACAGAAGUCAAGCUUCUUAACGCCGAGAGUAGUUGGGGGAUCGCCCCCUGC
RNAcentral lists this ribosomal RNA (96 nucleotides) under Pediococcus pentosaceus. Lineage: Bacteria; Bacillati; Bacillota; Bacilli; Lactobacillales; Lactobacillaceae. The record is from RNAcentral.